GCUCCUAGAGUAUCUACUAUGUUUGCUUCAUCCCAACUCUUUAUUAUUUUUAAACUAAAUGGUUCAAGUAAUUUACUAAAAUAUAAUCUUCUCACUUCUUUACUUUCUUCUGCAUUAUAUGCUCUUGAUGGCCUAUAACUCUUGUUCUUCAUUCCGAACAAUAGCUGCGUUUUGAUGCUUUCGCUCCUUUAUUUCUCUAGUGUUUGGUGUUGUGGUUUAUGUAUUAUUGUUUGUUGUUUGACACUGUUUUGUGGUCAAUUUUGGAGAAUAAUAUUAUAACUCUUGGUG
This 288-nucleotide long non-coding RNA is filed under the name Capsicum annuum. RNAcentral describes it as "long non-coding RNA (CANN_LNC017214)". The record is from RNAcentral. Lineage: Eukaryota; Viridiplantae; Streptophyta; Magnoliopsida; Solanales; Solanaceae.